This is a long non-coding RNA of Gambusia affinis (western mosquitofish), 474 nucleotides long. RefSeq lists it as uncharacterized. The record is from RefSeq and is a predicted model, not a curated record. NCBI's taxonomy places the organism in Eukaryota, Metazoa, Chordata, Actinopteri, Cyprinodontiformes, Poeciliidae. The transcript has 4 exons.
AUCCGUUACCCAAGUUUCAGUUUUGUCAUGGUGGUAAUGCAACCUCUGGUGAAGGCGGACAGUUUUCAGCACUUUACAUGGCAGCCAGGGAACUGUAGCUGCAUAGAGGUGAAUAGAAGUGAAGCAUUGAUGAAGGUUUACUUUAGAUGUACCAGGGAUUUUUGAGUGGAUACACGGGGGGAGAACAAUAACCUGAUGUGAACACGGCGUAAUGCUGCAGGGGAGAAGAGGAUUGGAGUUUGCAGCUCAUCAGCAGCUACCAGUAUUCAUUUGCAAUAGACCAGGAGCAAAUCAAGAAUAUUGGAUUGCAGUGAAUUCAGCCCCCUUUACUCUGAUAACUCCAAAUAAAAUCUAGAGCGUGUUCUUCCUGGGCACACCGUCCCUGCAGCCAGCCAGGACGGGUGUUAGCAUCAUGAUAUGGGAGGUUUUCCUCAGACGGGACAGGGAAGUGGGUUAGGUGUUUGUGGGAAGAUG